AACGAACGCUGGCGGCAUGCCUAACACAUGCAAGUCGAACGAGACCUUCGGGACUAGUGUCCCACGGGUGCGUAACGCGUGGGAACCUGAACUUAGGUUCGGAAUAACUACCCGAAAGGGAUGCUAAUACCGGAUAAUGUCUUCUGACCAAAGAUUUAUCGCCUUUGGUUGUGCCCGCGUUGGAUUAGCUAUUUGGUAGGGUAAAAGCUUACCAAGGCGACGAUCCAUAACUGGUCUGAGAGGAUGAUCAGCCACACUGGGACUGAGACACGGCCCAGACUCCUCCGGGAGGUAGGAAUGGGGAACAUUGUACCAUGGGCGAAGUCAUGAUCCAGCUCUGCCGCUUGAGUGAUGAAGGCCUUAGGGUUGUAAUGCUCUUGUACCUGUGAUCAUAAUGACAGUACCGGGUCAGUAAGCCACGGCUAACUCCGUG
RNAcentral lists this ribosomal RNA (433 nucleotides) under uncultured bacterium. Its description in RNAcentral is "partial 16S ribosomal RNA". It matches the Rfam family "Bacterial small subunit ribosomal RNA", at positions 29 to 507 of the family's 1533-position model. The record is from RNAcentral.